UCGAAGGUGGGUAUGGUUUUGAUAGUGACAAUGAAUUACAAUGACUAAUUGAGAUAGAGAAGGCUCUUUAGGUGUUUGCAAUCACACGAUUUUGAUGUUAUUAGUAUCUUUUCUGCUAACACGAUGAAUCUUAUACAGGAAUCAUCGGUGACUUUGAUGGUGCAAAUGUACAUUGAUUGAAUACUAGAACUAGUUCUAUUUUGAUGUGGCAUCUUUCUGAUCAUUGGCUUCUUAUCUGACAAUUUCUUGUUGACAGAUUCAGUCAUUUAAAAUUCUGCUUUUGAUGUGAUUUUUUAAACAUUGGGUUUGUUAUGCUGACAAUUUUUUUGGCAGAUUAAAGUCUCAUCAAAGCAGCAGAGGUUCUGUAGAGAGAGAAAUAAUGAUUUUUGUACUUGGUUUGAUUCUUUUUAUAUUCAUAGUCCAUUCUUCACUUAGUGUAUACUUGACAUGAUAGUGAAAUAGUGAUAAAUUGUGGUUUCUAUCCUACCAUGGGUUAAAACCUUUAUGAAAAUCUAAAUUUAUAAUGGUAUAAUUUCUCACCAUAUAAUUAGUUCUUCUUAUAUGAUGUUAGCUGUCAUUCAUUGAUUAGUUUGCACUAUUUUAUAGUUGAGAAAAAUUAUUUUCAUGUAUUUUCUUAUCCUAA
Molecule: non-coding RNA, 643 nt
Organism: Arachis ipaensis
Lineage: Eukaryota; Viridiplantae; Streptophyta; Magnoliopsida; Fabales; Fabaceae
Source: RefSeq, a predicted model, not a curated record